RNAcentral lists this transfer RNA (85 nucleotides) under Bacillota bacterium. Its description in RNAcentral is "tRNA-Leu". It matches the Rfam family "tRNA". From Rfam's summary of the family: Transfer RNA (tRNA) molecules are approximately 80 nucleotides in length. Their secondary structure includes four short double-helical elements and three loops (D, anti-codon, and T loops). Lineage: Bacteria; Bacillati; Bacillota. The record is from RNAcentral. RNAcentral also lists the same sequence under 2 other names.
GCGGCAGUGGCGGAAUCGGCAUACGCGCACGUUUGAGGGGCGUGUUCUGCAAGGAGUACGGGUUCAAGUCCCGUCUGCCGCACCA